AGCUACGGUAGCCUAGUGGUUAGAGCGACCGCCUCAGAUGCAAGAGGUGUUGGUUCGAUUCCCGGUCGAGUCA
Non-coding RNA from Potamilus streckersoni, 73 nucleotides. Lineage: Eukaryota; Metazoa; Mollusca; Bivalvia; Unionida; Unionidae. The record is from the annotation of a GenBank genome assembly.